GGCUGUUUUGUAGGAGUGGUUUAGCUACAAAGUAACAUUUUACCUUAUUCAAUGAGGAUGACAGAAACCCUAAAUUACCACUAUCUGCUUUUUCUCCAUUUCAAAAUUCAAUCAUUUCAGUGACAUAUGCAGAAAUCCAGGCUUAUUGGGAAUGGAGUCGUUGCAAUUAUUUGAUGACCUGACUGAGGAGCAUUCACAGAAUACAAUUAGAAGAAGGAAUCGAUUUUCACAGACAGAGACAGACUGAGGAGUGACUAAGAGGCUUGUCUACAGUAUGACCACUAAGCCAGGCUCACAGAAGAAAAACCCUCCCUUUCCAGAAACAGACAUAAAUAGACUUCUCAGCAGACAUGGAUGCAGUUCAGAUUAGCAGAUUUCUAAACACACAAGAUAAGGACUGGAAUCACAGUGAACUUCCCCAGUUUAAAGUAUUUCCUUAGUCAGAAAGUAUCUGUACUAUAAAAGUCUAAAGAAUCUGUACUAAAAAAAUUAGAUGCACUAGAAACACAUUUUUGGUUAAAGUUCUCAUUAAGGCUCCUUCCUUGUUUUCCCUUGCUAACAGCCAAGAGAAGUCCUGCAGAUAAAGCCCUAUACACUGUCAGCAAAGGGUGCAAACCCAGAAUAUUUUUAGCUUUUCUUGGUAACAAACAUCUCUGAAUACAGUAACUCUGCUCCUCUUACAUCCAGAUUUCAACAGUAGUAGUAGAUUUACCGCUUCUUUUCUGGAAGAGCUGUGAUAUUUUUACUGUAAAGCAGACAAUGCUCAGCAUCACAUUUCAAACAAGUUCUCUUGCCCAAAUGCUCUGAGCUGUGAGGCAAAGCAACCUGCUUGUUUCCUGAAGCUAAAACCUGGAAAGAUGCAUUUGUUCCCAGACAGUGCAGCUUUCUUCCUUUGAUUAGCACAUAGAGCCUAGAGACUCUACCCAUAACUUACAUGGUUCCUUUUUGUAUCAGUACAAGUUUGUAUGCAUCCAGUUGUGGUUUUAACUGAAACAUACCUUCUGAACUGUAAACAAAUUAUCUUCUGUUUGUUCCCUUUCCCUGACUUUUUCUGGACACCUGUUGAUUUGAAACUGAGUUUUGAGUUAAAUAUAAUGAGAACAACCCAAAACCUAUUAUAGAAUUAAGGUUUAAAAUCAUUUGUACAUUAGGUUACAGGCACUAUUCGUACAUCUUAUUACUUUGCCAUUGCCAAUACCUUGUAAAAGAUAAGAUUAUCUCAUUAAUCCUGUUGUGCUCCCUCUAAGAAGCUGAAACACUCCAUAAAAGAACACAGAAAUAAAGCAGUUGGUAAAUGGUGUCUGAUAUUAAGAGUAUUGGAGCAAAGCUGUGCUUACUGCCAAAGCAUCUGUAAAGUACAAAUUAAAACCAGGGAUCUUCACAUUCUGUGUGUUCCAGCUGGACACAAACAUAAGAACAGUUCUUUUUGGUCAGUCUAAAGUGUGGUAGAAAACAGUCUUGUUCUACUCACUGCUCCCGUUACCCUCUAACUUUUUCAGUAAACAUUUCAGAGUCCUCAGAGAAAACAAUGCCUCAAUUCAAAGACAAACAUUAAAAGAUAGCCUAAAAUACAUAUAUAUAUAUAUUUAUAAAUAGAGAUGAGCCUGUUUUCUUUCCUACCCUCCUAACACUUUCAUCUUGACAGCAAUUACUGUUUCAGAAGACAAUAAUGAAAGGUGAAAUAUCUCAUAUCAAUUAGCUGUAUUUACAUAAAAUAAAAAGAAAUGCAGAAAGGAUUGUAA
Pezoporus flaviventris is the source of this 1742-nucleotide long non-coding RNA. RefSeq lists it as uncharacterized. The record is from RefSeq and is a predicted model, not a curated record. The transcript has 4 exons. Lineage: Eukaryota; Metazoa; Chordata; Aves; Psittaciformes; Psittacidae.